RNAcentral lists this long non-coding RNA (200 nucleotides) under Physcomitrium patens. Its description in RNAcentral is "long non-coding RNA (PPAT_LNC010705)". Lineage: Eukaryota; Viridiplantae; Streptophyta; Bryopsida; Funariales; Funariaceae. The record is from RNAcentral.
AGGGGUAAUCUACACUCUAACGAAGAAGAAACUAGCUUUGAUAUGUGAGGUGAGUGAAGUCUCAACAAACUAUCAUGGACACAAAAAUACAGACUCAAGAUCUAACAAGAAGUUCAAGAAGAACUGGCAAGAAUUAGAUUAAUCAGAUGAAUACAAGAACAACACCUGAGAGGUGAGCUAGAGCUCUAAGAGAUGUGUUG